This 458-nucleotide ribosomal RNA is filed under the name Catonella morbi. RNAcentral's name for it is "bacterial SSU rRNA". It matches the Rfam family "Bacterial small subunit ribosomal RNA", at positions 28 to 485 of the family's 1533-position model. Lineage: Bacteria; Bacillati; Bacillota; Clostridia; Lachnospirales; Lachnospiraceae. The record is from RNAcentral.
GAUGAACGCCGGCGGCGUGCCUAACACAUGCAAGUCGAACGGAGAUUACGGACGGAAGUUUUCGGAUGGAAGUUUGUAAUUCUUAGUGGCGGACGGGUGAGUAACGCGUGGGCAACCUGCCCUAUACAGGGGGAUAGCAGCUGGAAACGGCUGGUAAGACCGCAUAAGUCGGUUAAAUCGCAUGAUUUGAUCGGGAAAUGAGCAAUCAGGUAUAGGAUGGGCCCGCGUCCGAUUAGCCAGUUGGCAGGGUAAAAGCCUACCAAAGCGACGAUCGGUAGCCGGACUGAGAGGUCGGACGGCCACAUUGGGACUGAGACACGGCCCAAACUCCUACGGGAGGCAGCAGUGGGGGAUAUUGCACAAUGGAGGAAACUCUGAUGCAGCGACGCCGCGUGAGUGAAGAAGUAUUUCGGUAUGUAAAGCUCUAUCAGCAGGGAAGAUGAUGACGUACCUACUAA